This 254-nucleotide ribosomal RNA is filed under the name uncultured bacterium. RNAcentral's name for it is "partial 16S ribosomal RNA". It matches the Rfam family "Bacterial small subunit ribosomal RNA", at positions 524 to 776 of the family's 1533-position model. The record is from RNAcentral.
UACGAAGGGGGCGAGCGUUGUUCGGAUUUACUGGGCGUAAAGGGCGCGCAGGCGGCGCAUUUUGUCAGGCGUGAAAGCCCCCGGGCUUAACCUGGGAACUGCGUUUGAUACGGAUGGGCUAGAGUUCGGGAGAGGAGAGUGGAAUUCCCAGUGUAGAGGUGAAAUUCGUAGAUAUUGGGAAGAACACCGAUGGCGAAGGCAGCCAUCUGGACCGACACUGACGCUGAGGCGCGAAAGCGUGGGGAGCAAACAGG